This 490-nucleotide ribosomal RNA is filed under the name uncultured bacterium. RNAcentral describes it as "bacterial SSU rRNA". It matches the Rfam family "Bacterial small subunit ribosomal RNA", at positions 30 to 531 of the family's 1533-position model. The record is from RNAcentral.
UGAACGCUGGCGGCGUGCUUAACACAUGCAAGUCGAACGGGAUCCAUCAGGCUUUGCUUGGUGGUGAGAGUGGCGAACGGGUGAGUAAUGCGUGACCGACCUGCCCCAUACACCGGAAUAGCUCCUGGAAACGGGUGGUAAUGCCGGAUGCUCCAGUUGAUCGCAUGGUCUUCUGGGAAAGCUUUCGCGGUAUGGGAUGGGGUCGCGUCCUAUCAGCUUGACGGCGGGGUAACGGCCCACCGUGGCUUCGACGGGUAGCCGGCCUGAGAGGGCGACCGGCCACAUUGGGACUGAGAUACGGCCCAGACUCCUACGGGAGGCAGCAGUGGGGAAUAUUGCACAAUGGGCGCAAGCCUGAUGCAGCGACGCCGCGUGAGGGAUGGAGGCCUUCGGGUUGUAAACCUCUUUUAUCGGGGAGCAAGCGAGAGUGAGUUUACCCGUUGAAUAAGCACCGGCUAACUACGUGCCAGCAGCCGCGGUAAUACGUAGG